UAACGAAUCUUCCGCAAUGGGCGCAAGCCUGACGGAGCAAUGCCGCGUGUGGGAUGAAGCGUCUCUGACGUGUAAACCACUGUCAGGGGUUAGAAACAAUGAUCAACCCCAAAGGAAGUGGCGACUAACUCUGUGCCAGCAGUCGCGGUAAUACAGAGGCCACAAGCGUUAGUCGGAAUCACUGGGCUUAAAGGGUGCGUAGGCUGGUCCGCAAGCGUCUUGUGAAAGCCCUCGGCUCAACCGAGGAACAGCAGGGCGAACUGCGGAUCUUGAGGCAGGUAGGGGUCGCGAGAACAGUAGGUGGAGCGGUGAAAUGCGUAGAUAUCUACUGGAAUGCCGAUGGCGAAGGCAGCCCCCUGGGCUAACACUGACGCUCAUGCACGAAAGCGUGGGGAGCAAACAGGAUUAGAUACCCAAGUAGUCCCUGAGCGGGCUGGCAAGGCGCAU
RNAcentral lists this ribosomal RNA (447 nucleotides) under uncultured bacterium. RNAcentral describes it as "bacterial SSU rRNA". It matches the Rfam family "Bacterial small subunit ribosomal RNA", at positions 355 to 825 of the family's 1533-position model. The record is from RNAcentral.